GUUGGAAUUGUUGGAUCGCCGGGCCCGUUCCACUCUAACGACAUCGAUACUGUCCCCACUUAACCACCUGCACAAUCCUCAGGUGUGGGGUUUUAUCACAAAAGGCCUCGAUGUUAGUUAGAGUGGGGUUAUACUAUUUAAACCCCUUUGGUUUUCUUCACCCCACCGAUGUGGGACAAUUUUAACACUCCCCCUCACGUGUAACCUCAUUUAGUGGUUCACACGUGGAGAUCCACAUCGGUAAUUGAAACUCAGAGGUCGGCUCACGUUGGGCCUACUUGUUUUCAAUGGAACUCAGCGGUCGUCUCUAUAUUAAGAGCUCAGACUUGUUUCCUUCCGGGUGGUGACAAGCUCAUUGGCUUGCACACACAAGCUCGUUGGCUUGCACGGGCCCGCAACCGUGGGCUCUGAUACCAUGUUGGAAUUGUUGGAUCGCCGGGCCCGUUCCACUCUAACGACAUCGAUACUGUCCCCACUUAACCACCUGCACAAUCCUCAGGUGUGGGGUUUUAUCACAAAAGGCCUCGAUGUUAGUUAGAGUGGGGUUAUACUAUUUAAACCCCUUUGGUUUUCUUCACCCCACCGAUGUGGGACAAUUUUAACAA
This 605-nucleotide long non-coding RNA is filed under the name Malus domestica (apple). RNAcentral describes it as "long non-coding RNA (MDOM_LNC002977)". Lineage: Eukaryota; Viridiplantae; Streptophyta; Magnoliopsida; Rosales; Rosaceae. The record is from RNAcentral.